This 593-nucleotide ribosomal RNA is filed under the name uncultured bacterium. RNAcentral describes it as "bacterial SSU rRNA". It matches the Rfam family "Bacterial small subunit ribosomal RNA", at positions 338 to 945 of the family's 1533-position model. The record is from RNAcentral.
CCUACGGGAGGCAGCAGUGGGGAAUUUUCCGCAAUGGGCGAAAGCCUGACGGAGCAAUACCGCGUGAGGGACGAAGGCUUUUGGGUCGUAAACCUCUUUUCCCUGAGAAGAAGAUCUGACGGUAUCAGGGGAAUCAGCAUCGGCUAACUUCGUGCCAGCAGCCGCGGUAAUACGAGGGAUGCAAGCGUUAUCCGGAAUUAUUGGGCGUAAAGCGUCCGCAGGUGGCUCUGUAAGUCUGUCGUUAAAGAAUGGGGCUCAACCCCAUACAGGCGAUGGAAACUACAAGGCUAGAGUUUGGUAGGGGUCACGGGAAUUCCUAGUGUAGCGGUGAAAUGCGUAGAUAUUAGGAAGAACACCAGCGGCGAAAGCGCGUGACUGGGCCAGUACUGACACUCAUGGACGAAAGCUAGGGGAGCGAAAGGGAUUAGAUACCCCUGUAGUCCUAGCCGUAAACGAUGAUAACUAGGUGUUGCCCGUAUCGACCCGGGCAGUGCCGUAGCCAACGCGUUAAGUUAUCCGCCUGGGGUAGUACGCACGCAAGUGUGAAUAAAUAGAUAGAGCGNGAGAGNGCCGACGCGACGACGAGGAGUAGG